AAGUCGUAACAAGGUAACCGUAGGUGAACCUGCGGAAGGAUCAUUAACACGUAUCCAAACGUUAAACCCCCGUGAACAUUAAGUUAUGCUCCCGCCGUCCGUUUUUUGAAGCUAGCAAUCUCUGGUAAAUCAUCGCCGAACAGUUUUGAUUCAGAGACUUCUACGAAGAUGUGGCGCCCAGCGUAUCAAUAGGAGCCCGGCAUUUCGCUGCUUGCUGAUGUCUGAAAGUGUCAUUGGCUCGUAUGUAGAAUGACGCAAGAACAGGUGAUCGCUAGAGGCCGACACGGCCGGCGACCGGUGCUUCUGGGCGACGGCCCCCCUGAGAACCUUUGCAUGCGCAACCUGGGCCUUCAAGUGUCGGCGCCAGGAAAACGUACAACUGUUAACAAUGGAUAUCUUGGUUCUC
Molecule: unclassified non-coding RNA, 406 nt
Filed under: fungal sp.
Lineage: Eukaryota; Fungi
Description: partial internal transcribed spacer region
Rfam family: Eukaryotic small subunit ribosomal RNA (bases 1-46)
Source: RNAcentral